UAGGGAAUCUUCGGCAAUGGACGAAAGUCUGACCGAGCAACGCCGCGUGAGUGAAGAAGGUUUUCGGAUCGUAAAACUCUGUUGUUAGAGAAGAACAAGGACGUUAGUAACUGAACGUCCCCUGACGGUAUCUAACCAGAAAGCCACGGCUAACUACGUGCCAGCAGCCGCGGUAAUACGUAGGUGGCAAGCGUUGUCCGGAUUUAUUGGGCGUAAAGCGAGCGCAGGCGGUUUCUUAAGUCUGAUGUGAAAGCCCCCGGCUCAACCGGGGAGGGUCAUUGGAAACUGGGAGACUUGAGUGCAGAAGAGGAGAGUGGAAGUCCAUGUGUAGCGGUGAAAUGCGUAGAUAUAUGGAGGAACACCAGUGGCGAAGGCGGCUCGCUGGUCUGUAACUGACGCUGAGGCUCGAAAGCGUGGGGAGCAAACAGG
Molecule: ribosomal RNA, 429 nt
Filed under: Gemmatimonadota bacterium
Lineage: Bacteria; Pseudomonadati; Gemmatimonadota
Description: Gemmatimonadetes bacterium partial 16S ribosomal RNA
Rfam family: Bacterial small subunit ribosomal RNA
Source: RNAcentral